GUCUUCUCUCUCUUCUUUUUAAUAAGGCUGGCUAAUGGUUUAUCUAUCUUAUUGAUUCUUUCGAAGUACCAACUCCUGGUUCUGUUGAUCUGUUCCACAGUUCUUCUGGUCUCGAUUUCAUUGAGUUCUGCUCGAAUCUUUAUGAACUCUCUUCUUCUCCUGGGUGUAGGAUCUAUUUGCUGUUUUUCUCUAGCUCCUUUAGGUGUAAGGUUAUCUUUUGUAUUUGAGUUCUUUCCAGUUUUUGAAUGGAUGCUUGUAUUGCGAAGUAUUUCCCCCUCAGGACUGCUUUUGCUGCAUCCCAAAGAUUUUGAACGGUUGUAUAUUCUUUCUCAUUAGUUUCCAUGAAUGAAUCUUUUUAAUUCUUCCUUAAUUUCCUGGUUGAACCUUUCAUCUUUUAGCAGGAUGGUCCUUAACCUCCACGUGUUUGAGGUCCUUCCAAACUUCUUGUUGUGAUUUAGUUCUAAUUUCAAGGCAUAUGGUCUGAGAAUAACAGGGGACGAUCUCAAUCUUUUGGUAUCGGUUCAGACCCGAUGUGUGACCCAGUAUGUGGUCUAUUCUGGAGAAAGUUUCAUGUGCACUUGAGAAGAAUGUGUAUUCAGUUGAGUUUGGAUGUAAAGUUCUGUAGAUAUCUGUGAAAUCCAUCUGGUCCAGUGUAUCAUUUAAAGCUCUCGUUUCUUUGGAGAUGUUGUGCUUAGAAGACCUAUCGAGGGUAGAAAGAGCUAGAUUGAAGUCACCAAGUAUAAGUGUAUUAUUAUCUAAGUAUUUCUUCACUUUGGUUAUUAAUUGGUUUAAAUAUUUGGCAGCUCCCACAUUCAGGGCAUAUAUAUUGAGGAUUGUUAAGUCCUCUUGUUGGAUAGAUCCUUUAAGUAUGAGAUAGUGUCCCUCUUCAUCUCUCACUACAGUCUUCGGGGUAAAUUUUAGUUUAUCUGGUAUAAGGAUGGCUACCCCUGCUUUCUUUUGAGGACCAUUUGAAUGGUAAAUGGUUCUCCAACAUUUAUUUUCAGGUUAUAGGUGUCCUUCUGUCUCUAAAAUGAGUCUCUUGUAGACAGCAAAUAGAUGGGUCCUGCUUUUUUAUCCAGUUGGAAACCUGUGAUUUUUGAUGGUGUCAUUAAGUCCGUUCACAUUCAGAGUUACUAUUGACAGCUAUGAGUUUAGUGUCAUCAUGAUAUCUAUUCAGUCCUUGUUUUUGUGGAUUGUUGCACUGGACUUCUUCUUAAAAGGGGAAUUUUAGAGUCCCCCCUUAAAAUUUCUUGCAGAGCUGGUUUGGAGGUCACAUAUUCUUUCAGUUCCUGCCUGUCCUGGAAGCUCUUUAUCUCUCCUUCCAUUCUGAAUGAGAGCCUUGCUGGAUAAAGUAUUCUUGGUUGCAUGUUCUUCUCAUUUAGGACCCUGAUAUAUCCUGCCAGCCCUUUCUGGCCUGCCAGGUCUCUGUGGAGAGGUCUGCUGUUACCCAAAACAAAUAAACUCCUCCCCAUAAAAGUCAGGGAUUUCUUGUCUCUUGCUGCUUUAAAGGAUCAUCU
RNAcentral lists this long non-coding RNA (1517 nucleotides) under Canis lupus familiaris (dog). Its description in RNAcentral is "lncRNA (ENSCAFG00845028668.1)". Lineage: Eukaryota; Metazoa; Chordata; Mammalia; Carnivora; Canidae. The record is from RNAcentral.